Molecule: ribosomal RNA, 369 nt
Filed under: uncultured organism
Description: partial 16S ribosomal RNA
Rfam family: Bacterial small subunit ribosomal RNA
Source: RNAcentral
GUAGGGUGCAAGCGUUAUCCGGAUUUAUUGGGCGUAAAGAGUUCGUAGGCGGACCGAUGCGUCCGGUCUCAAAUCUCCCGGCUUAACUGGGAAAAGGGAUCGGAUACGAUCGGACUAGAGAUGGUUAGGGGGAGCUGGAAUACACGGUGUAGGGGUGAAAUCCGUUGAUACCGUGUGGAACACCAAGCGCGAAGGCAGGCUCCUGGGGCCAUUCUGACGCUAAGGAACGAAAGCGUGGGUAGCAAAAGGGAUUAGAGACCCCUGUAGUCCACGCCGUAAACGAUGCCUGCUAGAUGGUCCCACUUUACGUGGGACUGUCGUAAGCUAACGCGUUAAGCAGGCCGCCUGGGAAGUACGGCCGCAAGGCUA